AGCGGCGGACGGGUGAGUAACACGUGAGGAACCUGCCUUUCAGAGGGGGAUAACGUUUGGAAACGAACGCUAAUACCGCAUAAAGUAUAGAUACGGCAUCGUGUCUGUACCAAAGGAGCAAUCCGCUGAAAGAUGGCCUCGCGGCUGAUUAGCUAGUUGGCGGGGUAACGGCCCACCAAGGCGACGAUCAGUAGCCGGACUGAGAGGUUGAACGGCCACAUUGGGACUGAGACACGGCCCAGACUCCUACGGGAGGCAGCAGUGGGGGAUAUUGCACAAUGGGCGAAAGCCUGAUGCAGCGAUGCCGCGUGGAGGAAGAAGGUCUUCGGAUUGUAAACUCCUGUCUUUAGGGACGAUAAUGACGGUACCUAAGGAGGAAGCUCCGGCUAACUACGUGCCAGCAGCCGCGGUAAUACGUAGGGAGCGAGCGUUGUCCGGAAUUACUGGGUGUAAAGGGAGCGUAGGCGGGGCGACAAGUCAGGUGUGAAAUUUAUGGGCUUAACCCAUAACCUGCAUUUGAAACUGUCGUUCUUGAGUGAAGAAGAGGUUGGCGGAAUU
RNAcentral lists this ribosomal RNA (558 nucleotides) under uncultured Clostridium sp. RNAcentral describes it as "bacterial SSU rRNA". It matches the Rfam family "Bacterial small subunit ribosomal RNA", at positions 94 to 668 of the family's 1533-position model. Lineage: Bacteria; Bacillati; Bacillota; Clostridia; Eubacteriales; Clostridiaceae. The record is from RNAcentral.